This 68-nucleotide small RNA is filed under the name Salix viminalis (osier). The record is from RNAcentral. Lineage: Eukaryota; Viridiplantae; Streptophyta; Magnoliopsida; Malpighiales; Salicaceae.
UUAAAAUGAUGAGCUCAUUUUAUCAGUGUUUGUGAGAAAAAUGAGAGAGGGCAAAUCAUUCUCAACAA